GCUUUCGUAACGUUUAAUUUAGCUAUGCUUUACGCGACAGAGGAUGCGAAAGAACAAGCGCAUAAACCAUUGGAUAAAAUAUUUAACAUUGCUGAUCAAUUUCAAGCAAUUUACCAACUUAAGAAAAUAAAUUAUUCAUUGUUAUCAAGCGGUCGAUUGAUAUAUAAUGGCAAAGCAGAAUAGCGUAAUAUGUAUCGAUCGAUCGUUAUUCAGAUGUAACUUGUCUUGGGAAUGAUGCUUAUGCAUUGAUUCAGGUAGAAUUGCCGUCGCAAUUUCAACGAUGUCGAAAGAACUAAAAAUAUAUCGAAAGUAUGCUAGUUUCGUAAAACGUUUUCUCCUCCUUAGUGGGAUGUGUCCGAUUACGAAGGAGCGGGAUGUAUUUUAUCGGUGCAUAUCAAUUUGGUCGAUAUUUUCCUCUUUCAUUUCACUCUGUGUCGUAGGAAAUUUUUGCUCACAGAAUGUUCAGAAUAUCGCUUUGCUUACCGCUUCGUUUUCCCUCUUCUGUGCCAUAUUGAAUACAACUACGAAGGCUUGCUGCUUUUUUAUCUAUCAAAAUAAACUACAACAAGCAAAUGAUAUACUCAGUUCUAUGUUGGAACAAGCACUAAGCGAAACAGAUAUAAGAUCAAUAGCUUUUUCCUGGGUUCGAACGUUUUAUCGAUUGAUUUAUCUACAGUUUACGUUAAUGACAAUCAACAGCACUAUACACGCAUUUAAACCGUUGAUUACGAGAAUACUUUACGACGCGAACAAUACAACGAAUCUACAAUAUCCUUUACCCUUUCCUGCAAGUUAUCCUUGGACGAUUGAUUCAAUGUUAGUCUGGCAAUUGCAUUAUCUCUUUGAUUUGAAUAUUGUUUGGAAUAUAAUCUCUGUAUCUACCGGCGUAGAUGGAUUUUUCAGCUUUUGCUUAUUUCGUAUAUCGGUAAUGUUACGUUUGUUGGGUUUUGAGUUCGAGAUGAGAUUUUCAACUGACGAGAAGGAUAAGGCGAAUAAAGAGUAUGAGGAGAAUCGUAAACGGAUCUUUCAAGAAUGCGUCAACAAGCACGCUCUGUUACUGAAAUGUCGAGACAUCGUUCAAGAAGCUUACGGACCCGUCAUACUAUUAACAACAAUAACGAGCGCAACGAGUCUAUGUACUUUAAUAUUUCAGGUUUUGCAGGUCAGAGGACAAAUCAUCGAUAAAAUCAUAAUUUGUAUUGUUUUCAUUUUUAUGAAAUUAUUACAAACGUUCCUGUACGCCUGGCCUGCAGACGUAAUUCUUACCGAGCGAACGACCGAACGAAUGGAUAAUCAAUUAUAUUAUACGUGGACUUGCGAUCAGCCUCCUUUAAUCUUCGUUUCCUUCGUAGAGCGAUCGUUUUCGUCGCAAGGUUUAUUUUAGCGAUUGGUACAAACACAAGGAUAUUAGUUUCGCAAAAGGCUUUACGCUGAUAUUAGCACAGAGAUCGAUCGUUCUGAAAGCGUGUGAUUUGAUGCAAGUUUCAUUGGAUCUUUUUGUUAAGGUUUUGAAUACCGCAGUAUCCUACUAUUUCUUGUUAGAAACCAUUGAUAAGGAUAAAUAAUAUAAAUGAAACUGGUACUGAUAUAGUAUUACGAUAGUAAGAGUACCUAAUAAUGAUGAUUACGAUGAUAAUAAUAGGGGAAAAAGAUAUCGAAAAGAAAAGGCAUAAUAGCUUUGUAAAAUGCAGUUCUCGACGAUUUUCAAGCUGCAAAAUGAUUUGUACGAAUUGUGUAUUUGCCCAAUCAUAGGUAGAGCAACAGCAAGGUACCAAGUCAACGCUGUUUUUUCUCUUCUCUCUUGGUAGAUGGCAAAUAAAAGCAAGAUAAUACGUAUUACAAAUAUA
Bombus terrestris (buff-tailed bumblebee) is the source of this 1847-nucleotide RNA transcript. It is a transcript of the gene named odorant receptor 24a, with no coding region annotated. Lineage: Eukaryota; Metazoa; Arthropoda; Insecta; Hymenoptera; Apidae. The transcript is spliced from 5 exons. The record is from RefSeq and is a predicted model, not a curated record.